Molecule: long non-coding RNA, 451 nt
Organism: Amblyraja radiata (thorny skate)
Lineage: Eukaryota; Metazoa; Chordata; Chondrichthyes; Rajiformes; Rajidae
Exons: 4
Source: RefSeq, a predicted model, not a curated record
UUCUCAACUGAAUUUCGCCUGGAGAUAAAUCAAGGCCUUUGACAUUGGAUUACAGCGGCUGCUUCUGUCAAAUACCAGUUGAAUAUCACAGUAAAAGAAACCCGUGCAGCCAGUCGACGAUCCCUACGGCAUCAACGCUGAAGUGGUUUUUGGCGAUAUCUCCAUCCCGCUAGUGGACUUGUAUCCUGGACUCAACACUUCACAAGCUACAACACAUCCAGUUCCAGAAACAGGGGAGCAGGGUUCAGUUGAACCUGAGAAAUGAAUGCAUAACAUGUGUCGGUGAAAGUUCUGUCUGAAGAUUUGGUAUUUCCACCAAGACCUUACACUGACAUUGGAAUAUAGCUAUAUAUGAUUUUAUUAUUAUUAUUGUGUAAACAUUAAUGAUACAGUAUUGCUGGUGUCAGACGGGCAUGGUGACAGACGCACAUCUCUGUCCUCCAUGCCGCUA